This is a long non-coding RNA of Labeo rohita (rohu), 231 nucleotides long. RefSeq lists it as uncharacterized. The record is from RefSeq and is a predicted model, not a curated record. The transcript is spliced from 2 exons. Lineage: Eukaryota; Metazoa; Chordata; Actinopteri; Cypriniformes; Cyprinidae.
UAUUCCCUUCUCUUUCUCUCUACCUCCCCAGCUUCUUUCUGUCUGGCAUCAUCCAAGAGUGAGUGUGCGAUGGAGUCUCUGUUGUUCUUGGCACUUUCUCUCUCCUCUCCAUUCAUCAGACAGUCGAGCGCCUGCAGCCUUUAUAACGUGACAUAAUCUCACCCAGGCCACAGCAGAGAUGGAUUUCUGACCAAGACGGAAGGUCGUUGCGGAGCACUCGCUGAAAUUCGA